CCACGACAGCCCAACCCUGACUGGCGUUACUCUGCCUCCCUGAGAGCAGGCAUGCACAGCUCUGUGCACCUAGAGGAGGCUGGCAUUCUACGGGCUGGUCCAGGAGGGCCUGAUCAGCAGUGGCCAACAGUAUCCAGUGCAACACCAGAACCAGAGGCAGGAGAAGUGUCCCCUCCAGUCGGUGCGGGUGUCAACAGCAACAGCUGGACCUUUAAAUACGGACCAGGCAACCCCAAACAAUCCGGUCCCGGUGAGUUGCCCGACAAAUUCAUUAUCCCAGGAUCUCCUGCAAUCAUCUCCAUCCGGCAGGAGCCUACUAACAGCCAAAUUGACAAAAGUGACUUCAUAACCUUCGGCAAAAAGGAGGAGACCAAGAAAAAGAAGAAAAAGAAGAAGGGUAACAAGACCCAGGAGAAAAAAGAGAAAGGGAACAGCACGACUGACAACAGUGACCAGUGAGGUCCUCAAAUGGAAACAAGCCACUUAGCCAGUUUUUGUAAUAAUGGCAAAUCUCUCCCAUGUAGCAAUUCCCUGCUCCUUUUUCCUAUCUACAUGAGCCCUCUUAGAGACCUCAGAAAUCUGCAGAAAGUUCCCUGUGUCUGUCUAGAACGCAUUUAACAGGUUUUGUCGUAAAAGCUUUACUAAGUCUGGUGUUAACUCUUUCUCUCCACUCUGGCUUGUUUUCAGAACCUAAAAAGCAGACCCAAGUUUCCUUUCUCCUCCGCCGCAAAGGAGAGGCUUCCCAGCCCCGCCAGUGAGAGGUUGGACUCUCUGCCCUGUGCUCCGGGGAUCCUGUCUUGAUGACACUUGCAGGGCAGGCUGAAAAGUUUUGAGAUUGAGCAGCUUGGGAGUUUGUGGCCACUGGGUAUGUGUGGCUACCGCGGGUAUGCGAGUGCCAGAUAUUGGCUGAGACGAGCCAGCUUAGACUAAUUGGUACAAGGAAGGCAAGAAAACAAAGACAAAUAAACAGCGGAAGUUAUCAGUAUGGAGGGGAAGUGUAAACUUAAAGGGACCAGACUUUCUAAAUCUUACAACUCAAGAGGUGGCAGCCACCCUCUAGGAGACAAAACUACCCCCACUGACAAGGCUUUAGGAGACCCUAAAGUCUGUUGGCUGUGACGUCAUUAUACCUAAAAUCUGCAUCAUACCUGCAAGCCAACAGUUCAGUGUUUUAACAGAGAACCACCCUGGGAAACAGAAGCAGAUCUGAUGUGUUUCCUAUACAUGUCCUGUGCUCACUUUAUUAAAAAUUCUUUUGCACACAAUGUUUAUGAAAAGGCCAGAUCCUUUUCCAAUACUUAUGCAAAAGCAAAAGAAAACCCCGACACCUCACCUUUCGCUGUUUGUUGUUUCAUAGAUUUAUUUAAAAAAAGAGAAAGUCUAUAGCUAUAAAUCUUUAAAGAGAAAUAUGAAUACAAUUCCCCUAAACUCUCCUCAAAAGAGAAUUCAGUCUACAGCCAUUUAAAUGAUCAUUGCUGCUACAGAAGUGCUUUAAGAGAAUUGCCUGAAACAUCUGUAUUAUAUCGGCCACCUGCCAAUCACAGCUUUACUCUUUCAGGUCACUCUGGGGCUGCCUCUUGCAUGUAUUACUAAAUAAAAUGAUCUCUCUUUCUCUCUCUCUCUCUCUUUUCUAAGAAACAAUUAUGUGCACUUUGAUACACAACCUUCUCUAACCAACUAUAUAUCAAGACCCAAAAAUUGAAGAAAAAUAUUGUUUUCUCAUACAGUGAGCAGAUUUUUCAAUCUACUAAUUCUGUGACUUGUCUUGGUGUGCUAGCCUACACCUUCUCUUUGGUUUAGUUUUCCUUUUCUAUAACACUCUGAAUUGCUAAUCUUACUAACACCUAUGAUGUUACCUGAAAUCAAUCUCCCAUAUGUAUGCUGUAUGCUAUGCUAAGACUCCUGAAAUAUACUUACUCUGUGCUUGUGUAUGUGAAUGUUAAUGCAACUAUUACCUAGAGUGAACUUUAAGCUUUAUUGUUGAAUGUAAUUCCAUUAUAUUUCCUUUUGUACACCUGUGAAAAAGUGGAGUAGUGUUUUUUUAACCAUUGUUAAUCAGCUUUUGUGUAUGAAAGACACAGUAAAAUUUCUUUCUUAAAUCAAGAUACUGGUGAUUCAAGGAAUUUUAUUUAUGGUCCAGCCAAGAGCCAUCUCGUGCCAAGACUUCUGCUGGCAAGGGAAUGGAUAAAGCUGUUUUGUUCUAGUAACAAUUUUGGAAUGAAUACUGACAAUAUUCCAUGAGGGUGUGCAAGCACAAAUUUUACCAAUCUGACCUCUUUGAAGUUGCAGAAUGCUUUGAAAUUCUAAUGGUAUCUGAAAUAUCAGCUCAUAGAAAGUAACAAAAUUUGCUGUCACCUUAAAUAAGACAUUUUAAUUUUGUUAUAAUGUACAAUUUAGAAGUUUGAUUAAUUAUAUUAUCUAUUUAGGCAUUAAUAUAAAAGAGGUAGGAGUCUGUUAUUUAAAAAAAGCAUUAAAUUUAAAAAAAAACUGUCUUGUCUACUUUUAGCUUCAUUCUCCCAUAUUUUGAAGGGUGUGUAACUUCAGCUCUGCAGGAUUGCAUGGGGUAAAACUUGUUACCAACACAUGUGAACCAUUGCUACAUUGUAGGUUGUGAUCAUUUUGCCCCACUGAAGCCCAUGUAUCUGACCUUACGUGCCUUUUGAACUAGGAGAAUCGGGCUAAUUUAUUAAUGAUGAUAAUUAUAAUGUAUCUGUACAGCACUUUUUACAUUUGCGAAGUGCUUUCCAAUCCAUGUUAGUUACUAGUUAUUACAGCUGUAAGGAUAAAACACGUCAUGUGGAUUCAUUUUGAAUUGGUGCUAUUGGUAUUUCCUCUGUUAUUGCUAAUAAAUGAAAAUGGUGGUAUG
Non-coding RNA from Homo sapiens (human), 2866 nucleotides. The record is from the annotation of a RefSeq genome assembly. Lineage: Eukaryota; Metazoa; Chordata; Mammalia; Primates; Hominidae.